This 466-nucleotide ribosomal RNA is filed under the name uncultured bacterium. Its description in RNAcentral is "bacterial SSU rRNA". It matches the Rfam family "Bacterial small subunit ribosomal RNA", at positions 32 to 518 of the family's 1533-position model. The record is from RNAcentral.
AACGCUGGCGGCGUGCUUCAUACAUGCAAGUCGAACGAUAAGGUCUCUUCGGAGAUACAUAAGUGGCGGACGGGUGAGUAAAAUGUAGAGAAUCUGCCCUAGAGUGGGGGACAACAGAGGGAAACUUCUGCUAAUACCCCAUAUGCGCGUAGCUGAGAUGCUAUUCGUGAAAACUCCGGUGCUCUGGGAUGAGUCUGCAUCUGAUUAGCUAGUAGGCGGUGUAAUGGACCACCUAGGCGACGAUCAGUAGCUGGUUUGAGAGGAUGAUCAGCCACAAUGGGACUGAGACACGGCCCAUACUCCUACGGGAGGCAGCAGUAGGGAAUUUUGCGCAAUGGGGGAAACCCUGACGCCAGCAACGCCGCGUGACCGAUGAAGCCCUUCGGGGUGUAAAGGUCUGUCAGUGGGGACGAAACUUGACGGUACCCACAGAGGAAGCAUCGGCUAACUCCGUGCCAGCAGCCGC